GCCGUGAUAGUGUAAUGGUAACACAUUACGUUGUGGCCGUAAUAAUCCAGGUUCGAUUCCUGGUCACGGCA
Non-coding RNA from Fopius arisanus, 71 nucleotides. NCBI's taxonomy places the organism in Eukaryota, Metazoa, Arthropoda, Insecta, Hymenoptera, Braconidae. The record is from the annotation of a RefSeq genome assembly.